GUCGUGAGAUGUUGGGCUAAGUCCCGCAACGAGCGCAACCCUCGUCCCUAGUUACCAGCGGGUUAUGCCGGGAACUCUAGGGAGACUGCCGGUGUCAAACCGGAGGAAGGUGGGGACGACGUCAAGUCAUCAUGGCCCUUACGUCCAGGGCUACACACGUGCUACAAUGGCCGGUACAGAGCGUCGCCAACUCGCGAGAGUGCGCUAAUCGCUAAAAGCCGGUCUAAGUUCGGAUUGGAGUCUGCAACUCGACUCCAUGAAGCCGGAAUCGCUAGUAAUCGCGGAUCAGCUACGCCGCGGUGAAUACGUUCCCGGGCCUUGUACACACCGCCCGUCACGCCAUGGAAGCUGGGGGGACCUGAAGUCGGUGCGCUAACCGCAAGGGGGCAGCCGCCAAAGGUCAAUUCAGUGACUGGGGCGAAGUCGUAACAAGGUAGCCGUAGGGGAACCUGCGGCUGGAUCACCUCCUUUCUGGAAUGCCGAGUAAGGCGGCGCUUCGGCGUCGUGGUGGAAGGUUUCUGGUGUCGCCCGCACUGGGUGCGGCCCUCCCAAUACGUCACUUGCAGCUCUUUGACAACCGAAGGUGGGAUGUUGUGCGGAUGCGAUCGCGACUGGGUUGCAUCCGGGGAAGGAAUCAACACCGAAAGUUUUGUAGACCAGUAAUGAGAUCAAACGCAAUAAGGCACACGGUGGAUGCCUUGGCAUCGAGAGGCGAUGAAGGGCGCGGUAAGCUGCGAUAAGCCUGGGGGAGCUGCACACGAGCUGUGAUCUCAGGAUGC
Molecule: small RNA, 779 nt
Filed under: uncultured Gemmatimonas sp.
Lineage: Bacteria; Pseudomonadati; Gemmatimonadota; Gemmatimonadia; Gemmatimonadales; Gemmatimonadaceae
Description: bacterial SSU rRNA
Rfam family: Bacterial small subunit ribosomal RNA (bases 1-471)
Source: RNAcentral